This 492-nucleotide ribosomal RNA is filed under the name uncultured bacterium. Its description in RNAcentral is "partial 16S ribosomal RNA". It matches the Rfam family "Bacterial small subunit ribosomal RNA", at positions 29 to 507 of the family's 1533-position model. The record is from RNAcentral.
AGUGAACGCUGGCGGUAGGCCUAACACAUGCAAGUCGAACGGCAGCACAGUAAGAGCUUGCUCUUACGGGUGGCGAGUGGCGGACGGGUGAGGAAUACAUCGGACUCUACUUUUUCGUGGGGGAUAACGUAGGGAAACUUACGCUAAUACCGCAUACGACCUACGGGUGAAAGCAGGGGAUCUUCGGACCUUGCGCGAUUGAAUGAGCCGAUGUCGGAUUAGCUAGUUGGCGGGGUAAAGGCCCACCAAGGCGACGAUCCGUAGCGGGUCUGAGAGGAUGAUAAGCCACACUGGAACUGAGACACGGUCCAGACUCCUAAGGGAGGCAGCAGUGGGGAAUAUUGGACAAUGGGCGCAAGCCUGAUCCAGCCAUACCGCGUGGGUGAAGAAGGCCUUCGGGUUGUAAAGACCUUUUGUUGGGAAAGAAAAGCAGCAGGUUAAUACCCCGCUGUUCUGACGGUACCCAAAGAAUAAGCACCGGCUAACUUCGUG